AGAGACAGCAGUAGCCGCGGGAAUACGUAGGUCCCGAGCGUUGUCCGGAUUUAUUGGGCGUAAAGCGAGCGCAGGCGGUUAGAUAAGUCUGAAGUUAAAGGCUGUGGCUUAACCAUAGUACGCUUUGGAAACUGUUUAACUUGAGUGCAAGAGGGGAGAGUGGAAUUCCAUGUGUAGCGGUGAAAUGCGUAGAUAUAUGGAGGAACACCGGUGGCGAAAGCACUCUGCUGGGCCGACGUUGACACUGAGAGACAAACGCUAGGGGAGAAAAUGGGAUUAGAUACCCGCGUAGUCCCUGUCUCUUAUACA
This 309-nucleotide ribosomal RNA is filed under the name uncultured bacterium. RNAcentral describes it as "partial 16S ribosomal RNA". It matches the Rfam family "Bacterial small subunit ribosomal RNA", at positions 504 to 809 of the family's 1533-position model. The record is from RNAcentral.